UUUGCUCAUCAUCACUACGUGGACGGUCGCCCACAGUGAUAAUUGUCAAUUUUAAACAAAGAAGAUGAUAUCGGCCUAAUGGGCGCCCUCAUAAUUGAUUGCCAUCGUUUUAUGGAAUUUUUUAUCACUUCGUCGAGAAGGCUUGUUCACGUAAACACUGGACUUAAAAAACCCCCCAAAAAACGGUCUGGACCGGUUAUAUCGGUCGAGUUUGUUGGCCAGUGCAAAUCGCCAGCCGCUUAAAAGAGUUGUAGCGAAACAGUUGAAGCGAACCAUUCACACAGAAACCCGCUGAUGUAAAAACAGCUCAUAGGCCUACCACAUGGUCAUCCGUCUAAAUUUAAUAGGCCUCUCUGGCAGACUCCGGAUGCAGCUUGCAGACCACCAGCGUGAUUACAAAAAUUGGCUUUUACUUAGCGUCAAGCCUAAAUGCACAAAAACCACUUUUAACCUGAAUAUGGCGGUUCCAAUGGUAGUUUGACGGCAUCGGUCCGAAUAAAUAUAUGAGAGCAUUUGUCUA
Molecule: long non-coding RNA, 520 nt
Organism: Drosophila elegans
Lineage: Eukaryota; Metazoa; Arthropoda; Insecta; Diptera; Drosophilidae
Exons: 2
Source: RefSeq, a predicted model, not a curated record